UGAGAGCAACAGGGACCUCUGCAACAAAG
RNAcentral lists this non-coding RNA (29 nucleotides) under Homo sapiens (human). Lineage: Eukaryota; Metazoa; Chordata; Mammalia; Primates; Hominidae. The record is from RNAcentral.